RNAcentral lists this transfer RNA (76 nucleotides) under Burkholderiales bacterium. Its description in RNAcentral is "tRNA-Thr". It matches the Rfam family "tRNA". From Rfam's summary of the family: Transfer RNA (tRNA) molecules are approximately 80 nucleotides in length. RNAcentral also lists the same sequence under 5 other names. The record is from RNAcentral. Lineage: Bacteria; Pseudomonadati; Pseudomonadota; Betaproteobacteria; Burkholderiales.
GCCGGAAUAGCUCAGUUGGUAGAGCAGCGCAUUCGUAAUGCGAAGGUCGGAGGUUCGAUUCCUCUUUCCGGCACCA